RNAcentral lists this ribosomal RNA (253 nucleotides) under uncultured bacterium. RNAcentral describes it as "partial 16S ribosomal RNA". It matches the Rfam family "Bacterial small subunit ribosomal RNA", at positions 524 to 776 of the family's 1533-position model. The record is from RNAcentral.
UACGUAGGGGGCAAGCGUUGUCCGGAUUUAUUGGGCGUAAAGAGCGUGUAGGCGGCCAUGCAGGUCCGCUGUGAAAACUCGAGGCUCAACCUCGAGACGUCGGUGGAAACCGCAUGGCUAGAGUCCGGAAGAGGAGAGUGGAAUUCCCGGUGUAGCGGUGAAAUGCGCAGAUAUCAGGAAGAACACCCGUGGCUAAGGCGGCUCUCUAGUACGGUACUGACGCUGAGACGCGAAAGCGUGGGGAGCGAACAGG